This 433-nucleotide ribosomal RNA is filed under the name uncultured bacterium. Its description in RNAcentral is "partial 16S ribosomal RNA". It matches the Rfam family "Bacterial small subunit ribosomal RNA", at positions 29 to 507 of the family's 1533-position model. The record is from RNAcentral.
AACGAACGCUGGCGGCAUGCCUAACACAUGCAAGUCGAACGAGACCUUCGGCUCUAGUGCCGUACGGGUUCGUAACGCGUGGUAACCUGCCCUUAAGCUCCGAAUAACUCCCCGAAAGGGGUCCUAAUAUCGGAUAAUGUCUUCGUACCAAAGAUUUAUCGCCUUUGGAUGUUCCCGCGUUGCAUUAGCUAGUUGGUAUGGUAAAAGCCUACCAAGGCGACGAUCCAUAGGUGGUCUGAGAGGAUGAUCAGCCGCACUGGGACUGAGACACGACUCAUACUACUGCGGGUGGCGGCGAUGAGGACUCUUGGGCAGUGGGCGAAAGGCUGAUACCGCUAUGUCGGGAGAGAGAUGAAGGACUGGGAGAAGUCUAGCACGUUUACCCGGGAUGAUAAUGACAGUACCGGGAGAAUAAGCGCCGGCUAACGGCGUG